UCCGAAGGGGGCUAUCGUUGUUCGGAAUUACUGGGCGUAAAGCGCGUGUAGGCGGGCCGUUAAGUCGGGGGUGAAAGCCCAGAGCUCAACUCUGGAACUGCCUUCGAUACUGGCGGCCUGGAGCAUGAUAGAGGCGAGUGGAAUUGCGAGUGUAGAGGUGAAAUUCGUAGAUAUUCGCAGGAACACCAGUGGCGAAGGCGACUCGCUGGAUCAUUGCUGACGCUGAGACGCGAAAGCGUGGGGAGCAAACAGG
Molecule: ribosomal RNA, 253 nt
Filed under: uncultured bacterium
Lineage: Bacteria
Description: partial 16S ribosomal RNA
Rfam family: Bacterial small subunit ribosomal RNA
Source: RNAcentral